Molecule: long non-coding RNA, 575 nt
Filed under: Bos taurus (domestic cattle)
Lineage: Eukaryota; Metazoa; Chordata; Mammalia; Artiodactyla; Bovidae
Description: long non-coding RNA NONBTAT020275
Source: RNAcentral
ACAGUGAUUCCAAACAGUUUAAUGUAAUUCCAAGACAAAGUGUGAUUACAUUUCUACACAUAUACAAUAUGCAUAUGUGAGUUUACAAAUUUUAAUUAAUAACUCGUUUCACCUCAGAGACCGAAAAAAUGAUCAAAAAGAAACUGUGAGUAACAAGCUAUAACAUAGUUCACCACAACGGGACCCCCCCCUUCCUCACCCUACAGUUAGUAAUAUUACAAUUAAAAUAACUAUAUUCUUCUAUAAUUUUUUUCUGUUAAAAUCAUCUCAUAAAUUUACAAUGCUAUUAUUAGUUUCCAAGACUAAUAUAAAUUCACUCCAUUUUUCUACAACAAAAAUGAUCAUUAAUUUAGAAGCACACGACGUCAUGAUGAAAAACACAAGCAUUUUAGUAGCAAGGACUGGAUCAGUUAAGAAUUAUUUUUCUUGUAAAACAUUCUAAAGCCAAGUAAAAUAUCCAUUCUUAUAACAUACCUAUAAUAUGAGACUAAGGAAUAGGUUACAUAUAGGCCUACGACACAUUGGUUUGUCUUUUUUUAAAAAAAGUAGACAUUUAUAAAUAAAAAAAGAAAAGA